This 482-nucleotide long non-coding RNA is filed under the name Nicotiana benthamiana. RNAcentral describes it as "long non-coding RNA (NBEN_LNC011773)". Lineage: Eukaryota; Viridiplantae; Streptophyta; Magnoliopsida; Solanales; Solanaceae. The record is from RNAcentral.
GUAUAAUGGAGUUCGUAAUUUAUUGACGGAUUUUUCGAGAUUUUUCUUUCUUAGAAUUGGAAGAAAAAGAUUGAAAUGACUAUUCCAAAUUUCACCUAUACCUUUCUUUGAGAUUUCAACAAAAAAUUUUGCUUUUCUUAUGAAAUGUUUAUUAUUCGUUGAUAGAUCUAAAGCUUAUGCCGUAGAAGCUGACAUCAGGCUAUUGGCCUUUUAUCUGCAUCUUCCCUCGUAGAGUGGCGUCUUUUAUAAGAAAAGACUUUCUCAGUGGAACUAAAAAAAAAAAAAGAGUUUGAGCUCUUUUUUUUGGUUGACCUUUAGCCACGCGCGGCGGCUAUGCGCAUGUGUCCCAAAGUGACGUAUAUUUUUUGGUAAUGGGUAUACUCGAGAGAAAAGGUUUGGAAUUCGACCUCCCCUUAUACGCUCUAAAAAGGGGUCAUGGACUCCUUUUUUGUUUAGGAUCCCCUUUCUACAUUCAAUUUUUU